Molecule: long non-coding RNA, 754 nt
Filed under: Olea europaea subsp. europaea
Lineage: Eukaryota; Viridiplantae; Streptophyta; Magnoliopsida; Lamiales; Oleaceae
Source: RNAcentral
GCUUGGUGAAGUCAUUAGCCUAAAAUGCCAUUUCUUGGGACAGUUUUCUGGCAAACUGCAUAAAUAAGCAUGUCUAAUAUCAUUUUCUUGACAUAUAACUAAAGAAUCCUAUGGAACUUAGAUUUUUCCUUUUUGUGAAGGAUGAUUUUAUGAUAGAAUAAUGAUAUUCAUCUACGAUCUCGAUGAUCCCUGGUUCGUGAUGGUGGGAUAACCGUCGCAUUGUUCAACGUCUAAAAAUGCAUUCAAGGUUCAUUGGACAAAGUGGCAGUGAUCCAUUCCACAUAUCGAUGAUCAUCUAGAAUCUAGAUGAAUAGCAUUACUCUUUAUGAUACCCUUUUGAAAUGAGAUAUCAAUUCCCUUCGUUUAGAUGCUUCAAGUUCACGUGGUGAGAGCAGAACUGAUUCGCUUCGAGUCAUCUAUGGUAGUUUCAGCAAUUCAACACGCAGAGGAGAUUCUGGAAGUACCAUAUUCACCAUGGAAGAAAUUUGUAAGGCUACAAAAAACUUCUCUCGUAGCUUAAAAAUUGGAGAAGGUCGUUUUGGAACAGUCUACAAGGGUCGACUCAAAGAUGGAACUUUGGUUGCAGUUAAACGUGCUAAAAAGGUAGGACACUGACACAGUUACAGUCAUAUCAAUGAUAUGUUUUGUUUUAAGGCUCUUCUUUCUUUGCAGCAUGACAGGCCUUUGGUGGCAGACUUUCAAAGAGAGAUCCAAACCUUAGCACUGGUGGAACAUCUAAAUAUUGUAAAAUUUU